AGAAUCAACGCUGGCGGCGUGCCUAACACAUGCAAGUCGAACGAGAAAGUGGAGCAAUCCAUGAGUAAAGUGGCGCACGGGUGAGUAACACGUGACUAACCUACCCUUGAGUGGGGGAUAAACCUAGAGAAAUCUGGGCUAAUACCGCAUAAUACCUUCGGGUCAAAAGGAGCAAUUCGCUUAAGGAGGGGGUCGCGGCCGAUUAGUUAGUUGGCGGGGUAAUGGCCCACCAAGACUGUGAUCGGUA
RNAcentral lists this ribosomal RNA (247 nucleotides) under uncultured bacterium. Its description in RNAcentral is "partial small subunit ribosomal RNA". It matches the Rfam family "Bacterial small subunit ribosomal RNA", at positions 26 to 285 of the family's 1533-position model. The record is from RNAcentral.